This 1232-nucleotide long non-coding RNA is filed under the name Homo sapiens (human). RNAcentral describes it as "HSALNT0317912". The record is from RNAcentral. Lineage: Eukaryota; Metazoa; Chordata; Mammalia; Primates; Hominidae.
UUGUACUUGCCUGGAGCUCUGAGGUUGAUAGGCACGAUGGAGCUUCUAUUGAAUGUUUAAGGCCUUACUGACUGACUGAGCUAUAGGCGACGUGAAGGCUGUUCUAUUAUCAGACUUUAUGGCAGCAGGCAGCCUAUACUGAACGAUGAUUUCAUUGUGUAAAAACUUAACUACUGUGUUGGUGGUUUCGUUUUCGGUAGCAAAUGCCUUAGUCUAUCUGGAGAAGGUGUCUACUAGUACUAGAAGGCAUUUGUACUUAGCCUGGUGUGGUUUGACUUCUGUAAAGUCAAUUUCUUACUUUUUUCUUGGCGAGGUUUUUCAGAGACAGUGGCCUGGGCUGGGUUUAGGACUUUGUUUGGCAUUUACUUGGGCGCAGGUUGUGAACUGGAGAGCUGCUUAAUCUGUUAGGCUUUGAAGACGGGGGAUCUUAAAAUGGCUCCGCAGGAGCUGAGGUAGCUUUGCUCUUUUUAAGUGGGUGGUAGACUGUAGGUGACGGACUAAAUUUUCUUUAAGGGUUCAGGAUAUGAAGCGUCUAGAGUCAGGAAGAAUCUACUAACUUUCCUGAUUUUUAUUGACUCUGAGAUCUGAAGCCAGUUUUUUGUUGUUGUUGUUGAGUGUACGGGAUUGUCAGGCAGAUCUGGCUGUGGAAAGGAGACUGUGGGCAGCAAGUUUAGAGGCGUGACUGAAAGUCUCGCUGCGACCUGAGCUGCUGAAUCAGGUUUCUGGUUACUAUGGGCAACGGCCGUGUUUUCUUUUUGAUGUCCUUUGCAGUGGAUCACAGCUACCUGCUGAGACAGACAAGGAGAGGGUUUCCUGUGAUGGGAUCAGUCAGAUGCCUGCCUGGCCACUCCCCCUGAGGGGACCUGGGCUCCUCUUACCAUUGGCAGGCCGGUAUAAACUUGCGGCUCAGAUCAAGCUAUGCCUGAUGCUGCCUUAAGCCUUAUGAGGUCGCCAAGGAACCGCAGGUGAGGAUUCAGGAGAUAAUUCUGCAAACAGAACUUCCUGAGAACUGAGAUGGGGGAAAUCGCUGGUAUUAGAAGAGUGAAAAGAAACUCCUGGAGGGCAGAGGCAUGCCUGCCAUCUUCAUCAAUGCAUUACCACCACCCAACACUAUCGGGGGACCUGCCCUGAUAAUCAGUCUACAGGUGAAUCCAGCAGCUCCAGAGAGACAGCGACCAGCGAGAAGGGGCCAUGAUGAUGGUGGUGGUUUUGUCAAAACGAAAAGGGGGAUA